UCCGGUUUGACACCGGCAGUCCCACUAGAGUCCCCGGCAUGACCCGCUGGCAACUAAUGGUAAGGGUUUCGCUCGUUAAGGGACUUAACCCGACAUCUCACGACACGAGCUGACGACAGCCAUGCAGCACCUGUGGUAGCUUCCGGAUUGGAUACCGUUCGUUCGAGUUUCCCCGUUCUACCUGCUACCUCUUUCGAACAUGUCAAGUCUAGGAUAAGGUUCUUCGCGUAGCCUCGAAUUAAGCCACAUGCUCCACCGCUUGUGUGAGCCCCCGUCAAUUUCUUUGAGUUUCAGCCUUGCGGCCAUACUCCCCAGGCGGAGAACUUAGCACUUUUGCUUCGGCAGUAAACCCAAGUCAAGUCUACUACCUAGUUCUCAUCGUUUAGGGCUAGGACUA
Molecule: unclassified non-coding RNA, 397 nt
Filed under: uncultured Planctomycetia bacterium
Lineage: Bacteria; Pseudomonadati; Planctomycetota; Planctomycetia
Description: contains 16S-23S intergenic spacer region
Source: RNAcentral